AUACGGAGGGUGCAAGCGUUGUUCGGAAUCACUGGGCGUAAAGGGCGCGCAGGCGGUUUGGUAAGUCAGAUGUGAAAGCCCACGGCUCAACCGUGGAAGUGCAUUUGAAACUGUCAGACUUGAGUACUAGAGGGGAAAGUGGAAUUCCCGGUGUAGAGGUGAAAUUCGUAGAUAUCGGGAGGAACACCGGUGGCGAAGGCGACUUUCUGGCUAGAUACUGACGCUGAGGCGCGAAAGCGUGGGGAGCAAACAGGAUUAGAAACCCCAGUAGUCC
This 274-nucleotide ribosomal RNA is filed under the name uncultured bacterium. RNAcentral describes it as "partial 16S ribosomal RNA". It matches the Rfam family "Bacterial small subunit ribosomal RNA", at positions 523 to 796 of the family's 1533-position model. The record is from RNAcentral.